AUUUUUGCCAAUUUUNUGUUUAUUUUUAAAGAAAAAUCGUUUGGCCCCUACAUUUUUUUUAAAAAUUCAAUGAAAGCUGCUUAAACAUUUAAAAGGAAAAAACAAUAACUUGUAAUGUGUUAGUGUUUUUAUUAGUUGAUAUUUUAAGUUUGUUUUCACAUAACUAUUUUAUUAUUUUAAAUACUGCAAUAUCACUAUGAUGAUAUGGUUAGGUCAGGCUAGGAAGUAAACAUUUUUUUUAAAUUAUCCUAAAUUAUAAAUUUUAUGAUGAAUAGACAGGUGGUCAGUAUUAAUGGCUUAGACAAUGUACAACAAGCAACCAAUUCAAAGAUUGAGCUAAGAAAAUAGUUAUUAAGAUCUUUGAUUUUACUGUAUCAAUGUAAUGUAUAUUAUGUUUAAAAAAAAUCUGCAGCACAUUAAAAACAUAAAUUAAAUAAGUAUUGGCAUUAUAAUAAUUUGAAAGUAUUAUGU
Non-coding RNA from Cinara cedri, 471 nucleotides. Lineage: Eukaryota; Metazoa; Arthropoda; Insecta; Hemiptera; Aphididae. The record is from the annotation of a GenBank genome assembly.